CCUACGGGAGGCAGCAGUGGGGAAUAUUGGACAAUGGGCGAAAGCCUGAUCCAGCCAUGCCGCGUGUGUGAAGAAGGCCUCCGGGUUGUAAAGCACUUUCAGUGGGGAAGAAAGCCUUGGGGCUAAUACCCUCGAGGAAGGACAUCACCCACAGAAGAAGCACCGGCUAACUCCGUGCCAGCAGCCGCGGUAAUACGGAGGGUGCGAGCGUUAAUCGGAAUUACUGGGCGUAAAGCGCGCGUAGGCGGUCUGAUAAGCCGGUUGUGAAAGCCCCGGGCUCAACCUGGGAACGGCAUCCGGAACUGUCAGGCUAGAGUGCAGGAGAGGAAGGUAGAAUUCCCGGUGUAGCGGUGAAAUGCGUAGAGAUCGGGAGGAAUACCAGUGGCGAAGGCGGCCUUCUGGACUGACACUGACGCUGAGGUGCGAAAGCGUGGGUAGCAAACAGGAUUAGAUACCCGAGUAGUC
RNAcentral lists this ribosomal RNA (465 nucleotides) under Vreelandella stevensii. Its description in RNAcentral is "partial 16S ribosomal RNA". It matches the Rfam family "Bacterial small subunit ribosomal RNA", at positions 338 to 795 of the family's 1533-position model. Lineage: Bacteria; Pseudomonadati; Pseudomonadota; Gammaproteobacteria; Oceanospirillales; Halomonadaceae. The record is from RNAcentral.